RNAcentral lists this ribosomal RNA (505 nucleotides) under uncultured bacterium. Its description in RNAcentral is "partial 16S ribosomal RNA". It matches the Rfam family "Bacterial small subunit ribosomal RNA", at positions 899 to 1397 of the family's 1533-position model. The record is from RNAcentral.
ACUCAAAGGAAUUGACGGGGGCCCGCACAAGCGGCGGAGCGCGUUGCUUAAUUCGAUGCAAAGCGAAGAACCUUACCCAGGCUUGACAUCCCCGAAGUAGGUGCCUGAAAGGGUUACCCACCCGUAAAGUCGGGAACGGGGACAGGUGUUGCAUGGCUGUCGUCAGCUCGUGCCGUGAGGUGUUGGGUUAAGUCCCGCAACGAGCGCAACCCUCGCCAUAUGUUGCCAGCGGGUAGUGCCGGGCACUCAUAUGGGACUGCCGGGGAAACCCCGGAGGAAGGAGAGGAUGACGUCAAGUCAGCAUGGCCCUUACGCCUGGGGCUGCAAACGCGCUACAAUGCGUGGUACAGCGGGUUGCGAGGCCGCAAGGCGGAGCGAAUCCCGAAAAGCCACGCUCAGUUCGGAUCGGGGUCUGCAACCCGACCCCGUGAAGCUGGAGUCGCUAGUAAUGGCAGAUCAGCACGCUGCCGUGAAUGCGUUCCCGGGCCUUGUACACACCGCCCGU